GCAACGAGCGCAACCCUCGCCUCUAGUUGCCAGCAUUCGGUUGGGCACUCUAGAGGGACUUGCCGGCGACAAGUCGGAGGAAGGUGGGGAUGACGUCAAAUCAUCAUGCCCCUUAUGACCUGGGCUACACACGUGCUACAAUGGGCGGUACAAAGGGCUGCGAACCCGCGAGGGGGAGCGAAUCCCAAAAAGCCGCUCUCAGUUCGGAUUGCAGGCUGCAACUCGCCUGCAUGAAGCCGGAAUCGCUAGUAAUCGCGGAUCAGCAUGCCGCGGUCGAAUACGUUCCCGGCCUU
Molecule: ribosomal RNA, 293 nt
Filed under: uncultured Geobacillus sp.
Lineage: Bacteria; Bacillati; Bacillota; Bacilli; Caryophanales; Anoxybacillaceae
Description: partial 16S ribosomal RNA
Rfam family: Bacterial small subunit ribosomal RNA
Source: RNAcentral